This 370-nucleotide ribosomal RNA is filed under the name uncultured prokaryote. RNAcentral describes it as "bacterial SSU rRNA". It matches the Rfam family "Bacterial small subunit ribosomal RNA", at positions 524 to 896 of the family's 1533-position model. The record is from RNAcentral.
UACGGAGGGUGCAAGCGUUAUCCGGAAUCAUUGGGUUUAAAGGGUCCGCAGGCGGUCUUAUAAGUCAGUGGUGAAAUCUCGUAGCUUAACUAUGAAACUGCCAUUGAUACUGUAGGACUUGAAUUCGGUCGAAGUGGGCGGAAUAUGACAUGUAGCGGUGAAAUGCGUAGAUAUGUCAUAGAACACCGAUAGCGAAGGCAGCUCACUAGGCCUGGAUUGACGCUCAGGGACGAAAGCGUGGGGAGCAAACAGGAUUAGAUACCCUGGUAGUCCACGCCGUAAACUAUGAUUACUCGUUAUUGGCGAUAUACUGUCAGUGACUAAGCGAAAGUGAUAAGUAAUCCACCUGGGGAGUACGAUCGCAAGGUUG